GGAGCAGCCCAGAGUCUGAAUCAGCUUGUGUGUUAGUGGAACGGUCUGGAAAGUCCGACGGUACAGGGUGAUAGUCCCGUACACCAAAAUGCACAGGUUGUGAACUCGAAGAGUAGGGCGGGACACGUGGUAUCCUGUCUGAAUAUGGGGGGACCAUCCUCCAAGGCUAAAUACUCCUGACUGACCGAUAGUGAACCAGUACCGUGAGGGAAAGGCGAAAAGAACCCCGGCGAGGGGAGUGAAAAAGAACCUGAAACCGUGUACGUACAAGCAGUGGGAGCACCUUCGGGUGUGACUGCGUACCUUUUGUAUAAUGGGUCAGCGACUUAUAUUCUGUAGCAAGGUUAACCGUAUAGGGGAGCCGCAGGGAAACCGAGUCUUAACUGGGCGUUAAGUUGCAGGGUAUAGACCCGAAACCCGGUGAUCUAGCCAUGGGCAGGUUGAAGGUUGGGUAACACUAACUGGAGGACCGAACCGACUAAUGUUGAAAAAUUAGCGGAUGACUUGUGGCUGGGGGUGAAAGGCCAAUCAAACCGGGAGAUAGCUGGUUCUCCCCGAAAGCU
RNAcentral lists this ribosomal RNA (563 nucleotides) under Klebsiella pneumoniae. RNAcentral describes it as "partial 23S ribosomal RNA". It matches the Rfam family "Bacterial large subunit ribosomal RNA", at positions 294 to 867 of the family's 2925-position model. Lineage: Bacteria; Pseudomonadati; Pseudomonadota; Gammaproteobacteria; Enterobacterales; Enterobacteriaceae. The record is from RNAcentral.